Molecule: ribosomal RNA, 253 nt
Filed under: uncultured bacterium
Lineage: Bacteria
Description: partial 16S ribosomal RNA
Rfam family: Bacterial small subunit ribosomal RNA
Source: RNAcentral
UACGUAGGGUGCAAGCGUUAAUCGGAAUUACUGAGCGUAAAGCGUGCGCAGGCGGUUUUGUAAGUCUGAUGUGAAAUCCCCGGGCUCAACCUGGGAAUUGCGUUGGAGACUGCAAGGCUAGAAUCUGGCAGAGGGGGGUAGAAUUCCACGUGUAGCAGUGAAAUGCGUAGAGAUGUGGAGGAACACCGAUGGCGAAGGCAGCCCCCUGGGUCAAGAUUGACGCUCAUGCACGAAAGCGUGGGGAGCAAACAGG